This 427-nucleotide ribosomal RNA is filed under the name uncultured bacterium. RNAcentral's name for it is "partial 16S ribosomal RNA". It matches the Rfam family "Bacterial small subunit ribosomal RNA", at positions 355 to 774 of the family's 1533-position model. The record is from RNAcentral.
UGGGGAAUAUUGCACAAUGGGCGCAAGCCUGAUGCAGCCAUGCCGCGUGUGUGAAGAAGGCCUUCGGGUUGUAAAGCACUUUCAGCGAGGAGGAAGGUGGUGAGCUUAAUACGCUUAUCAAUUGACGUUACUCGCAGAAGAAGCACCGGCUAACUCCGUGCCAGCAGCCGCGGUAAUACGGAGGGUGCAAGCGUUAAUCGGAAUUACUGGGCGUAAAGCGCACGCAGGCGGUUUGUUAAGUCAGAUGUGAAAUCCCCGGGCUCAACCUGGGAACUGCAUUUGAAACUGGCAAGCUAGAGUCUCGUAGAGGGGGGUAGAAUUCCAGGUGUAGCGGUGAAAUGCGUAGAGAUCUGGAGGAAUACCGGUGGCGAAGGCGGCCCCCUGGACAAAGACUGACGCUCAGGUGCGAAAGCGUGGGGAGCAAACA